This 544-nucleotide ribosomal RNA is filed under the name uncultured bacterium. RNAcentral describes it as "bacterial SSU rRNA". It matches the Rfam family "Bacterial small subunit ribosomal RNA", at positions 777 to 1320 of the family's 1533-position model. The record is from RNAcentral.
AAUAGAUACCCGGGUAGUCCACGCCGUAAACGAUGAGUGCUAAGUGUUAGGGGGUUUCCGCCCCUUAGUGCUGCAGCUAACGCAUUAAGCACUCCGCCUGGGGAGUACGGUCGCAAGACUGAAACUCAAAGGAAUUGACGGGGGCCCGCACAAGCGGUGGAGCAUGUGGUUUAAUUCGAAGCAACGCGAAGAACCUUACCAGGUCUUGACAUCCCAUUGACCACUAUGGAGACAUAGUUUUCCCUUCGGGGACAACGGUGACAGGUGGUGCAUGGUUGUCGUCAGCUCGUGUCGUGAGAUGUUGGGUUAAGUCCCGCAACGAGCGCAACCCUUGUUCUUAGUUGCCAUCAUUUAGUUGGGCACUCUAAGGAGACUGCCGGUGACAAACCGGAGGAAGGUGGGGAUGACGUCAAAUCAUCAUGCCCCUUAUGACCUGGGCUACACACGUGCUACAAUGGACGGUACAAACGGUUGCCAACCCGCGAGGGGAGCUAAUCCGAUAAAACCGUUCUCAGUUCGGAUUGUAGGCUGCAACUCGCCUACA